CUUAGAGAUGAUGAGGUUGAUAGGUCAGAAGUGGAAGCGUGGCGACACGUGGAGCGGACUGAUACUAAUCGGUCGAGGACUUAUCCUA
Molecule: ribosomal RNA, 88 nt
Filed under: Shouchella rhizosphaerae
Lineage: Bacteria; Bacillati; Bacillota; Bacilli; Caryophanales; Bacillaceae
Description: partial 23S ribosomal RNA
Rfam family: Bacterial large subunit ribosomal RNA
Source: RNAcentral